GAUGAACGCUGGCGGCGUGCCUAAUACAUGCAAGUCGAGCGCAGCGGGGACGGGUGAGUAAUACGUGGACAACCUCCUAUAAGACUGGGAUACCCUCGGGAAACCGGAGCUAAACCGGUAACUUACAGAUGGAUCCGCGCUGCAUUAGCUAGUUGGUAAGGUAACGGCUUACCAAGGCAACGAUUCAUAGCCGACCGUAGAGGGUGAUCGGCCACUCUGGAACUGGUACACGGUCCAUACUCCUACGGUAGGCAGCAGUGGUGAAUCUUCCGCAAGGGGCGAAAUCCUGACGGGGAAAGGCCGCGUGGUUGAUGAAGGUCUUCGGUUCGUAAAGCUCUGUCAUUGGGGAGGCGGUACCUAAUGAGAAAGCAACGGCUAACUACGUGCCAGCAGCCGCGGUAAUUC
RNAcentral lists this ribosomal RNA (405 nucleotides) under uncultured bacterium. RNAcentral describes it as "partial 16S ribosomal RNA". It matches the Rfam family "Bacterial small subunit ribosomal RNA", at positions 28 to 526 of the family's 1533-position model. The record is from RNAcentral.